This is a non-coding RNA of Callithrix jacchus (white-tufted-ear marmoset), 1339 nucleotides long. Lineage: Eukaryota; Metazoa; Chordata; Mammalia; Primates; Cebidae. The record is from RefSeq and is a predicted model, not a curated record.
ACAAAAUUCAAAACUUAAUUUGUAAAAUGAUACAUUUCUUAGUAGUUAUGUGAGAGAAGAAGGGGCUAUUAGCCUUUUUUGGGGAUUACUGGGCCUAUUUUUAUCUAGGAGUUUAGGUAUUUAAAUGGCCUCUGGAUCAAAACACUUGAUCAUUGGGUAAAAAGUUGGAACUUCAACUGCAAGAGUGAGCUCCCCAGCUGCAGGUGCCGGGAGAAGAUGGCAAGUGAGACCUCCUCAUCACUCCGGGAGGUGAGGACCUCACUCUGUGGCAGCCCCUGCCAUGGCACAACUGCCCCAGCACCGGAGAAGCUGUCAGCUGGUGAGUGGCUUUAUCAGGUAGGUGACUGCUGAUAUCCUUCAGGAAAUGCUAAUCCUAAGGGAUGUGACACGCUUUGCCAAUUAUCAGCCUAUGCCUUUGUCCACAGAUUCACUCCUCAAAUCCCUGCAAAAGUGGUCCCCAGGCAGCUACAUUUUCUCCUGCCAUGUCUACAUCUACCAACAUCACUUCAUUUGCUUCCUUAGUGGAAGACGAAAAUGCUCAGAGCACCAUAAAGAAACCAGAACUGAAGACAGGCACGGAUUUGCAUGGACACCUUCUAGACAUCCAUCCAUAUGAGAUUUUGCUGCUGUUUAUACUCCUAAGGGGUCGUGCCACCUGGGGAAUGCAAGAAGGAGAUACUCAUGAGCAGGAAGCCGCUUUACCCCCCAGGACUGACACAAACUGUGAGGUGCUGCUGGUUCCUAUGGACACUCAGACGGUGGCCCGUGAGCAGCUCUUGAUUGACCAACAAAGAGCUGCUCUGUUCACAGAGAGCAUUUCCAAAGUGAAUGGACAACAUCCUCCUGUUUGGAAGACUGCUGCUUAAACAAGGCACAGAACACCAAUAAGAAGAACUGUUCUGUUUGUCAGCAAGAGAGACAAAAACUGCCAAUGACUAUGGGGCAGAUGGCCUGGUGGGGAGGCCCUGACCAGAGCUGGCAAGUGAGGCUGAUGCUGGUAGCCCUGUGGGCUACAUAUGGGUUUUUGACAGGAAUAAACAGACUCUGGGCUGGGCUUUGCUUCCUUAGUGGAAGAUGAAAAUGCUCUGAGCACCAUAAAAAAAUCAAGAACUGAAGACAUGCAUGGAUUUGCAGACAACUGUCAUUUCUUCAGAUCAAGGAACAAUGAACAAGUCAUAAUGUCCAAUGAUGAGUAGAGAGUUAUCUCCUUAGCAUCAUAGUUUAGUAAUAGAGAAGUGGAACGAGUAUAAAACACUGGUUGUCUAGAAGGGGAGAUAAAGUAUGAAGGGCUGGCUUACACGCCUUCACAGGUAGGUGCUCACACUCAACAUGAAUGGAA